Molecule: long non-coding RNA, 266 nt
Filed under: Ananas comosus (pineapple)
Lineage: Eukaryota; Viridiplantae; Streptophyta; Magnoliopsida; Poales; Bromeliaceae
Description: long non-coding RNA (ACOM_LNC014340)
Source: RNAcentral
CACAAUACCGUUACAAUAUAUUAAUUAAAGGCCAAAUACAUACUGACCGUCUCUAGAGCAAGUGGCAAAAGACUUGAUAGUUGGUAUUCGAGACCCAAGUUCGAAUUCUAGUUGAUUAACAUUUCUAGCUAAGUUUAUUUUUAAAUAAAAUAAACGAAGCAGGUAGCGUGCUACCUAUCUCUCUCUUAAAAAAAAAAAGCCAAAAAUUUAUUUUUAAAUGAAAUAAACGAAACAGAUAGCGUGCUGUCUAUCUCUCUCAAAAAAAA